GACGAACGCUGGCGGCGUGCCUAAUACAUGCAAGUGGGACGCAAGGAAACACACUGUGCUUGCACACCGUGUUUUCUUGAGUCGCGAACGGGUGAGUAACGCGUAGGUAACCUGCCUAUUAGCGGGAGAUAACUAUUGGAAACGAUAGCUAAUACCGCAUAAUAUUAAUUAUUGCAUGAUAAUUGAUUGAAAGAUGCAAGCGCAUCACUAGUAGAUGGACCUGCGUUGUAUUAGCUAGUUGGUAAGGUAAGAGCUUACCAAGGCGACGAUACAUAGCCGACCUGAGAGGGUGAUCGGCCACACUGGGACUGAGACACGGCCCAGACUCCUACGGGAGGCAGCAGUAGGGAAUCUUCGGCAAUGGACGAAAGUCUGACCGAGCAACGCCGCGUGAGUGAAGAAGGUUUUCGGAUCGUAAAGCUCUGUUGUAAGUCAAGAACGUGUGUGAGAGUGGAAAGUUCACACAGUGACGGUAGCUUACCAGAAAGGGACGGCUAACUACGUG
RNAcentral lists this ribosomal RNA (505 nucleotides) under uncultured bacterium. RNAcentral's name for it is "partial 16S ribosomal RNA". It matches the Rfam family "Bacterial small subunit ribosomal RNA", at positions 28 to 507 of the family's 1533-position model. The record is from RNAcentral.